AGCGCUGGCGGACAUGCGGACGGGCCGUCGUCACUCGGCUUCUCCGUCCACCCUCCCGUGUGGCCCAGGUCCGGCCCGGGCUGUGGUCACUUCGCACACACACACUGCUUCGUGAGUCUUUGAGCGGCACAGUGACCGAGACAAAAAGACAUGGACGGCGGGGGCUGGGGCGCACAUCCGCGGGUUCGCUCCCCCACAUGAUGGCAGCGCCUGGGCCCGGGCCGGCGCCGACGUUGAGAGCCUGGGAAGAAAUCCGGUUUUCCCUCCUGGUGGCAGGAACAGCAGUUGCUGGGGCGUUACCACUACCCCCCACGCCUGCCCUGGCUAGAAGCUAGACUCGGACGCCAGAGCCGUGUCGGGGACCCCUGAGCGCUGGGAUGGAACGCAGAUGAAAGAUCUCUAUUUAUCUGUCUCUCCAUCCCUCUCGGGUUGCUGUGCCUUUAAAAUAAAUAGAAUUUUUUUAAUUGAGGCACCAAGAGGAAAAGCUCAUUACAGUUUGAAUUAUGUUCCCUGAAAAGGCAGAGUGGACAGUGAGAGAGAGAGAGACAGAGAGAAAAGUCUUCCUUUUGCCGUUGGUUCACCCUCCAAUGACCGCCGCGGCCGGGCACCACGCUGAUCCGAAGCCAGGAGCCAGGUGCUUCUCCUGGUCUCCCAUGCGGGUGCAGGGCCCAAGGACUUGGGCCAUCCUCCACUGCCUUCCCGGGCCACAGCAGAGAGCUGAACUGGAAAAGGAGCAACCAGGACAGAAUCUGGCACCCCGACCGGGACUAGAACCUGGUGUGCUGGCGCAGCUAGGCGGAGGAUUAGCGUGUUGAACCACGGCAUCAGCUUAAUAUGUUUUCAUACACAGCCAAUCUAUGGAUACCGGAGCCUGAAACAAGUUUUUUGACUGGAAACUUUCUAUUGGAAAUGACUUUAGAAUUCACCGUGUCCAAACCUUACAUUCCAAGAGGACCAUGCCUGAAUACUCGUCCUUGGCAGCAUUCCCAGCAGUUCUCAGACUGGGCACCAUCAGUCCAACAACCAACAUCUCCUCUUCCCUCACUUUGUAACUUUUUCAUUUCUUCAAUGUAGGGCAGUUUAUUUUUCAACUUGUCACUCUACACUUCCUAAAAUCCAAUCUCACAAAAAUAAUUAUCUUUUCUAUUAAAAUCACUGGGCUUGUUCUUAGAUCUCUCUCCCUCUCUCUGUCUCUAACACACCAUGAGGCAAGUUUAAUAGCAAAUAAUAAUUGAACAAGAGUAAUGUCUUAUAAUAUCACCAUAUCUUGAACAAGAGUAACAUCUUGUAAUGUCACCAUAAAACAGUCUGGCAUAGACUCACAAAAAAAUUGUUGGAUAAAUAAAAAUAUAGAAAGAACCUACAAACUGUAAUAGGUGAUAGAUAAUAAAUUUAGGGGUUAUGGAAUGUGUAACUGUACAAGGGAAAAACAAAUGAACAUUCUGAAAAAAAGCUAUAAAGAGCUGUAUUUUCUUCCAAAAAAAGAAAACUUUAGCUACUUAAAAAAUGUGCAGUGUUUGGAAAGAGGUAGUUUAAUCUCAGCUUCUGCAGGUAAUAAACAGUAGUAAAUAUCCAAACGUCCAGUGCUUUCUAAUACUGCGAUAAAUGUGAGCAUCCGGGGCUCUUGUGAAUUUUUGUAAUCAUCACUUUCAUAUUAACAAAAUCCAUGACCAAGCAAGAUGAUGUUUUUCCUUCUUUGUUAUGUCUUUCCUGUUGGAUGCCUGAUGUUCCUUAUUCUUUAUAAUUCUAAAUGCUUUUGCUAUUGCUUCAGUGACAACUGUUCCUGUGGUAUCAAAGAAUUCAAUUAAUUUGGAAUUAUAAGUUCUAAUAUGCAAUAAAAUGAGAAUCAAAUUACUUAUAUUUUAAGAGUAAAUCUGCCUUGAGAUUUCAAAGUCUUCAUCCACAUCCCUACUUCCUAGCCAUUUCUCCUUUCAAAUAAAGGGUUAUGUUAUCAGCUUUUGGGUCCAACAGGACUAAUAUAGAUCUAUUUCCAUAUUUCAAGCAAGCACUUCUCAAUCCCAGCACAUUCUUCAGUGACAGCAUGGUGCUUAAUUUCUAUUUUGCCCAUAUCACCAGAUCUUAUUUUAAGAUACUCAGAAUGGUGGCUGGCGCUGUGGUGCAGUGGGUUAAUGCCCUGGCCUGAAGUGCUGGCAUCCCAUAUGGGUGCCCGUUCUAGUCCCGGCUGCUCCACUUCCCAGCCAGCUCUCUGCUAUG
Long non-coding RNA from Lepus europaeus (European hare), 2214 nucleotides. RefSeq lists it as uncharacterized. The transcript is spliced from 3 exons. The record is from RefSeq and is a predicted model, not a curated record. Lineage: Eukaryota; Metazoa; Chordata; Mammalia; Lagomorpha; Leporidae.